This 4841-nucleotide long non-coding RNA is filed under the name Populus trichocarpa (black cottonwood). RNAcentral describes it as "long non-coding RNA (PTRI_LNC000761)". Lineage: Eukaryota; Viridiplantae; Streptophyta; Magnoliopsida; Malpighiales; Salicaceae. The record is from RNAcentral.
AAUAUCUCCUUUAUCUCCUUUCCUUCUUGCAUUUCUUUAAUAGCUGUCAGUCUUUCUUUUGUAGCUGUUAGUAUAUUCUUCUUUUCUUUUGUAGCUGUCAGUAUAUUCUUCUUUUCUUAUUAAAUUUCUGUCAUAGCUGUAUAUCCCUUGAUUCUCUCUAAAGACCUCAAUUAUUGUCUAGGCCUAGGACUAAAAGGAUCUGAUUAUGAUGAUUAGAUCCCAGAAUUAAAGGAUUUGAUACUUCUUGAUGUAUAUAUAUAUUGUAACUCUCUUAGUGAAAAAUACAGAAAACAUUUCAGAAUUUCUCUUGUAUUAUCUUGUCAUGGUAUCAGAGCCAAAACUCUGAAAUCAAUUCAUCUUGUAUCUAGUUCCUUGUCUGGUUCUUCUAUUCUGUUUUUCUUGAACUUGAUCUCUUGGUUCUUGUUUCUAGUUAAAUCAUGUCUCUGGAACGAUCUGAACAUUUUCUUGUUCGAUUUACUGGAAAGAACUAUUCUGCCUGGGCUUUCCAGUUUCAGAUUUUUGUCAAGGGAAAGGAAUUAUGGGGUCAUAUUGCUGGGACAGUUCCUGCACCUGACAGUGAGCAGGAGAAAGAGAAAUAUGUGAAAUGGGAGGUGAAGGAUGCUCAGAUUAUGUCUUGGAUCCUUGGAAGUAUGGAACACUCCAUGCUUCUCAAUCUCAAGCCUUACAAAUCCUCUAGAGAGAUGUGGGAUUACCUGAAGAAAGUUUACAACCAAAGCAAUACAGCACGAAGAUUCCAAUUGGAACUCGAGUUGGGUCAACUCAGUCAAGGCAGUAUGUCAAUACAAGAGUUUUAUUCUUCCUUUGUAAAUCUUUGGGCUGAGUACACAGAUAUUGUGUAUGCAAGUGUACCUCCUGAAGGACUUAUUUUAUUCAAAGUGUGCAUGAGACCAGCAAACGUGAUCAAUUUUUAAUGAAGUUAAGGGGGGGAUUUGAAGCAAUCAGGUCCAACCUGAUGAAUAGACAACCAGUUCCUUUCUUGGAUAUUUGUGUAGGAGAACUUCUCAGGGAAGAACAACGGAUCAUUACACAGGCUGUUUUGGAGCAGAAAGCUCAAACUUCUACUCCAAUUCCUGUUGCAUACACUGCUCAAGGGAGGUCUAAAGGAGGUAGAAAUAUGUCAAAUGUCCAGUGCUAUAGCUGCAAAGGAUUUGGGCACAUUGCCACUACUUGUACUAAAAAAUUCUGCAACUAUUGUAAGAAAACAGGGCAUAUCAUCAAAGACUGCUCCAUCCGGCCUCCAAAGAAAUCUGAAACUGCCUAUAAUGUCUCGGUUGGUUCCUCAAAUACUCCUAGUCCUGGUCAGUCCUCUAUUACCCCUGAAAUGGUCCAACAAAUGAUAGUUUCUGCCCUUUCUGCUUUAGGCCUUUCAGGUAACCGAAAUUCUGUUCCUAAGCCUUGGUAUUUUGAUUCUGCUGCUUCCAAUCACAUGACCAACACUGCCUUACCUUUAAAUAAUGUUAAAAAAUAUAAAGGCAAUCUUCAUAUUCGUACUGCCGAUGGUAAUCCCUUGUCUAUCACAGCUGUUGGUGAUAUUUCAGCCCUUCUGAAUACUAUCUUUGUGUCUCCUAAGCUGUCCACUAAUCUUAUAUCUGUUGGCCAAUUGGUUGACAACAAUUGUGAUGUUCAUUUUUCCAAAUCUGGUUGUUUUGUGCAGGAUCAAGUGUCCAGGAAGAUGAUCGCGAAGGGACCUAAAGUGGGACGCCUAUUUCCCUUGCUUCUAUCUCCCUCUCCUAUGUCAAAUUAUGUUGCAUGUAAUGCUGUUCAAUGUGAUAAUCAGGUGUGGCAUAGACGUUUAGGACAUCCCAAUUCUCAUGUACUUCGAGUCUUGUUUAAAUCUGGUUUACUAGGAAAUAAAAAUUCGACUUCUUCUAAUAAUGAUAUUGUUGAUUGUGCAUCUUGCAAACUUGGUAAAAGCAAAACACUUCCUUUUCCAUUGCAUAAAACCCGCACCACCAAAACUUUUGAAAUCGUACAUACUGAUGUAUGGGGUAUUGCACCUGUCAUUUCUCAUGAACAUUACAAAUACUUUGUUACAUUUAUAGAUGAUUUCACUCGUUUUACUUGGGUAUAUUUUCUUCGAUCUAAAAGUGAGGUCUUCUCUGUGUUUAAAGCCCUUCUUGCCUUAGUUGAGACACAAUUUUCUGCCAAAAUCAAAAUUCUGCAAUCUGAUUCAGGUGGUGAAUAUAUGUCAAAUGAAUUUCAAUUUUUUCUUCAAAGUCAUGGGAUCAUAUCACAACGUUCUUGUCCUUUCACCCCACAACAAAAUGGUGUGGCUGAAAGAAAGAAUCGUCAUCUUCUUGAUGUUGUUCGAACCCUUCUCCUUGAGUCAUGUGUUCCUUCUCAUUUUUGGUGUGAAGCUUUGUGUACUGCUGUUUAUUUAAUUAAUCGAUUACCAUCUCCUCACUUGAACAAUGAUUCUCCCUACGUUUGUUUGUUUGGACAUGCACCAAAUUAUUCCAAUCUUCAUAUUUUUGGUUGUGUUUGUUUUGUUCACCUUCCUGCACAUGAGAGAAAUAAACUUACUGCCCAAUCUGUCAAGUGUGCUUUCUUAGGCUAUGCUGGCACCCAAAAAGGAUUUCUUUGUUAUGAUCCACAUGCCCGUCGAACUCGUGUCUCUAGGAAUGUCAUAUUUUUUGAAAAUCAGCCCUUCUUUUGCACCCAACAGCCUUCAGUACUUCCUUCUCUAUCUGUUUUACCAUGUUUUCCUGAGUCGCCAACACCAGUACAAAGGUUUAACCCUGUUUAUGUUUCUCAUAGACGCACUCCUACUUCUGAUCCUUCUCCAGGUCUCACUGAGGUUCCUUCACAUCUUCCUGUAACAUCUGAUCUUGUUCUGCCCAUUUCCUAUGAUCCCCCUCCUCUUCGUAGAAGCUCUAGACCUCACAAACCUCCUGAAAGGUAUGGUUUUUCAACUCCUGUGGCUAUGUCUACUACUCUGUCUUCUAUUUCCAUUCCCACUUGUUAUACACAGGCUAAAGAACAUGAGUGCUGGAAACAAGCAAUGAAGGCUGAACUUCAUGCACUUAAGGCCAAUCAUACUUGGGACAUUAUUUCUUGUCCUCCACAUGUCAAGCCCAUUGGUAGCAAGUGGGUUUAUACUGUGAAACUCAAGUCUGAUGGAUCUUUGGAUAGAUACAAAGCUCGAUUGGUUGCUCUUGGCAAUAAACAAGAAUAUGGCUUCGACUAUGAAGAAACAUUUGCACCCGUUGCUAAGAUGACUACGGUGAGAACACUUCUUGCUAUUGCAGCCUCUCAAGCUUGGCCUUUAUAUCAGAUGGAUGUGACAAAUGCCUUCUUGCAUGGGGAUCUUAAGGAAGAGAUUUAUAUGAAACUUCCACCUGGUAUGUCCACAACGGCUUCUGAUGAAGUUUGCAAACUAAGACGCUCUUUGUAUGGGUUGAAACAGGCACCUAGAGCUUGGUUUGAGAAGUUUCGCAACACUCUACUCACCUUCUCCUUCACACAAAGUCAAUAUGAUUCAUCACUUUUCUUUUACAAGACCACCACUGGUAUGGUAUUUCUCUUAGUCUAUGUUGAUGAUAUUAUCCUCACUGGUAAUGACAUUGGGUUGAUCACCAAGCUUCAACAUAUGCUGCAUAGUACAUUUCAAAUGAAAGAUCUUGGACAUCUCACAUAUUUUUUGGGGCUGGAAGUUCACUCUAGAGAUCAUGGUUUGUUCUUAAAUCAACAUAAAUAUAUUCAGGAUCUCAUUGAGUUAGCUGGUUUAAAGGAUGCUACUGCUGUUGAUACACCAAUGGAGGUGAAUGUGAAAUACCGAAAAGAUGAAGGCGACCUUUUGCCUGAUCCUUUUUUAUAUAGGCAACUUGUUGGUAGUCUUAUCUACCUAACCAUUACACGGCCUGAUAUCUCCUAUGCUGUCCAUAUCGUUAGCAAAUUUAUGCAGGCACCUCGCCAUCUUCAUCUUGCUGCAGUUCGUCGUCUUAUUCGAUACUUAAUUGGGUCCCCUACUCGUGGGUUGUUUUUUCCUAAACAUUCUCCUCUUACCUUGACUUCCUAUAGUGAUGCAGAUUGGGCUGGUUGCCCGGAUACUCGGAAGUCUAUCACAGGGUGGUGCAUUUUUCUUGGCGAUGCCUUGAUUUCUUGGAAGUGUAAGAAGCAGGAUUGUGUCUCUAAAUCUUCUACAGAAGCCGAGUAUCGCGCCAUGUCUGCAGCUUGUUCUGAAAUUGUGUGGUUACGUGGUCUUAUUUCUGAACUUGGGUUCCCCCCAACUGCUCCUACUCCUCUUCAUGGUGAUAAUACUAGUGCUAUUCAAAUAGCUGCGAAUCCGGUCUACCAUGAACGCACUAAGCACAUAGAGGUGGACUGUCAUUAUAUUAGGGAGGCCUUUACUCGGGGUGUUAUCACUCUUCCUCAUCUCAAUACUGCUCUUCAAAUAGCUGAUGCCUUUACAAAAGCCUUAACACGCCAACGCCAUCAGUUUCUCAGCAGCAAAUUGAUGUUGUUAGACCUACCCGCAUCAAUUUGAGGGGGGAUGUCAAUAUCUCCUUUAUCUCCUUUCCUUCUUGCAUUUCUUUAAUAGCUGUCAGUCUUUCUUUUGUAGCUGUUAGUAUAUUCUUCUUUUCUUUUGUAGCUGUCAGUAUAUUCUUCUUUUCUUAUUAAAUUUCUGUCAUAGCUGUAUAUCCCUUGAUUCUCUCUAAAGACCUCAAUUAUUGUCUAGGCCUAGGACUAAAAGGAUCUGAUUAUGAUGAUUAGAUCCCAGAAUUAAAGGAUUUGAUACUUCUUGAUGUAUAUAUAUAUUGUAACUCUCUUAGUGAAAAAUACAGAAAACAUUUCAGAAUUUCUCUUGUAUUAUCUUGUCA